CAAGGAAUUUUCCACAAUGGGCGCAAGCCUGAUGGAGCAACGCCGCGUGGGGGAUGACGCACUUCGGUGUGUAAACCCCUUUUCGAGGGGACGAAGGCAAUGACGGUACCCUCGGAAUAAGGAUCGGCUAACUACGUGCCAGCAGCCGCGGUAAGACGUAGGAUCCGAGCGUUGUCCGGAGUUACUGGGCGUAAAGCGCGCGCAGGCGGACACGCGCAUCGGCGGUGAAAGCCCCCCGCUCAACGGGGGAGGGUCCGUCGAGAUGGCGUGUCUGGAGGCAGGGAGAGGCCAGUGGAAUUCCGGGUGUAGUGGUGAAAUGCGUAGAGAUCCGGAGGAACACCAGUGGCGAAGGCGGCUGGCUGGACCUGACCUGACGCUGAGGCGCGAAGGCGUGGGGAGCGAACGGG
RNAcentral lists this ribosomal RNA (407 nucleotides) under Bacillota bacterium. RNAcentral describes it as "Firmicutes bacterium partial 16S ribosomal RNA". It matches the Rfam family "Bacterial small subunit ribosomal RNA", at positions 355 to 776 of the family's 1533-position model. RNAcentral also lists the same sequence under 1 other name. The record is from RNAcentral. Lineage: Bacteria; Bacillati; Bacillota.